UGCGUAGGCGGAAUAAUAAGUCAGUGGUGAAAUCCUGUGGCUCAACCACAGAACUGCCAUUGAUACUGUUAUUCUUGAAUAUAGUUGAGGUAGGCGGAAUGUGUAAUGUAGCGGUGAAAUGCUUAGAUAUUACACAGAACACCGAUUGCGAAGGCAGCUUGCUAAACUAUUAUUGACGCUGAGGCACGAAAGCGUGGGGAGCAAACAGGAUUAGAUACCCUGGUAGUCC
This 229-nucleotide ribosomal RNA is filed under the name uncultured bacterium. Its description in RNAcentral is "partial 16S ribosomal RNA". It matches the Rfam family "Bacterial small subunit ribosomal RNA", at positions 568 to 796 of the family's 1533-position model. The record is from RNAcentral.